AUCAGCCAUGCCGCGUGUGUGAAGAAGGCCUUUUGGUUGUAAAGCACUUUAAGCGAGGAGGAGGCUACUUAGAUUAAUACUCUAGGAUAGUGGACGUUACUCGCAGAAUAAGCACCGGCUAACUCUGUGCCAGCAGCCGCGGUAAUACAGAGGGUGCGAGCGUUAAUCGGAUUUACUGGGCGUAAAGCGUGCGUAGGCGGCUUUUUAAGUCGGAUGUGAAAUCCCUGAGCUUAACUUAGGAAUUGCAUUCGAUACUGGGAAGCUAGAGUAUGGGAGAGGAUGGUAGAAUUCCAGGUGUAGCGGUGAAAUGCGUAGAGAUCUGGAGGAAUACCGAUGGCGAAGGCAGCCAUCUGGCCUAAUACUGACGCUGAGGUACGAAAGCAUGGGGAGCAAACAGGAUUAGAUACCCUGGUAGUCCAUGCCGUAAACGAUGUCUACUAGCCGUUGGGGCCUUUGAGGCUUUAGUGGCGCAGCUAACGCGAUAAGUAGACCGCCUGGGGAGUACGGUCGCAAGACUAAAACUCAAAUGAAUUGACGGGGGCCCGCACAAGCGGUGGAGCAUGUGGUUUAAUUCGAUGCAACGCGAAGAACCUUACCUGGUCUUGACAUAGUAAGAACUUUCCAGAGAUGGAUUGGUGCCUUCGGGAACUUACAUACAGGUGCUGCAUGGCUGUCGUCAGCUCGUGUCGUGAGAUGUUGGGUUAAGUCCCGCAACGAGCGCAACCCUUUUCCUUAUUUGCCAGCGGGUUAAGCCGGGAACUUUAAGGAUACUGCCAGUGACAAACUGGAGGAAGGCGGGGACGACGUCAAGUCAUCAUGGCCCUUACGACCAGGGCUACACACGUGCUACAAUGGUCGGUACAAAGGGUUGCUACCUAGCGAUAGGAUGCUAAUCUCAAAAAGCCGAUCGUAGUCCGGAUUGGAGUCUGCAACUCGACUCCAUGAAGUCAGAAUCGCUAGUAAUCGCGGAUCAGAAUGCCGCGGUGAAUACGUUCCCGGGCCUUGUACACACCGCCCGUCACACCAUGGGAAUUUGUUGCACCAGAAGUAGGUAGUCUAACCGCAAGGAGGACGCUUACCACGGGGGCCGAUGACUGGGGA
This 1101-nucleotide ribosomal RNA is filed under the name Acinetobacter johnsonii. RNAcentral describes it as "bacterial SSU rRNA". It matches the Rfam family "Bacterial small subunit ribosomal RNA", at positions 387 to 1481 of the family's 1533-position model. The record is from RNAcentral. Lineage: Bacteria; Pseudomonadati; Pseudomonadota; Gammaproteobacteria; Moraxellales; Moraxellaceae.